Molecule: transfer RNA, 71 nt
Filed under: Prevotella sp. tf2-5
Lineage: Bacteria; Pseudomonadati; Bacteroidota; Bacteroidia; Bacteroidales; Prevotellaceae
Rfam family: tRNA
About the family: Transfer RNA (tRNA) molecules are approximately 80 nucleotides in length. Their secondary structure includes four short double-helical elements and three loops (D, anti-codon, and T loops). Further hydrogen bonds mediate the characteristic L-shaped molecular structure. tRNAs have two regions of fundamental functional importance: the anti-codon, which is responsible for specific mRNA codon recognition, and the 3' end, to which the tRNAs corresponding amino acid is attached (by aminoacyl-tRNA synthetases). tRNAs cope with the degeneracy of the genetic code in two manners: having more than one tRNA (with a specific anti-codon) for a particular amino acid; and 'wobble' base-pairing, i.e. permitting non-standard base-pairing at the 3rd anti-codon position.
Source: Rfam by way of RNAcentral
UGCACCAUGGUGUAAUGGUAGCAUACCAGAUUCCGGUUCUGGAGGUGGUGGUUCGAGUCCAUCUGGAGCAG